This 439-nucleotide ribosomal RNA is filed under the name Cohnella sp. RNAcentral's name for it is "bacterial SSU rRNA". It matches the Rfam family "Bacterial small subunit ribosomal RNA", at positions 332 to 766 of the family's 1533-position model. The record is from RNAcentral. Lineage: Bacteria; Bacillati; Bacillota; Bacilli; Caryophanales; Paenibacillaceae.
UACUCUCUUUUGGGGGGACAGCAGUAGGGAAUCUUCCACAAUGGGCGCAAGCCUGAUGGAGCAACGCCGCGUGAGUGAGGAAGGCUUUCGGGUCGUAAAGCUCUGUUGCCAGGGAAGAAUAAGGGCCAGUUAACUGCUGGUCCGAUGACGGUACCUGAGAAGAAAGCCCCGGCUAACUACGUGCCAGCAGCCGCGGUAAUACGUAGGGGGCAAGCGUUGUCCGGAAUUAUUGGGCGUAAAGCGCGCGCAGGCGGUCUUUUAAGUCUGGUGUCUAAGUGCGGGGCUCAACCCCGUGAUGCACUGGAAACUGGGAGACUUGAGUGCAGAAGAGGAGAGCGGAAUUCCACGUGUAGCGGUGAAAUGCGUAGAGAUGUGGAGGAACACCAGUGGCGAAGGCGGCUCUCUGGACUGUAACUGACGCUGAGCGCGUAGCUAGCUC